RNAcentral lists this transfer RNA (82 nucleotides) under Candidatus Desulforudis audaxviator MP104C. It matches the Rfam family "tRNA". From Rfam's summary of the family: Transfer RNA (tRNA) molecules are approximately 80 nucleotides in length. Their secondary structure includes four short double-helical elements and three loops (D, anti-codon, and T loops). Lineage: Bacteria; Bacillati; Bacillota; Clostridia; Thermoanaerobacterales; Desulforudaceae. The record is from Rfam by way of RNAcentral.
GCGGGCGUGGCGGAACGGCAGACGCGCCAGACUUAGGAUCUGGUGGGUUUCCCCCGUGGAGGUUCAAGUCCUCUCGCCCGCA